AUGGCGACCGGCGCACGGGUGAGUAACACGUAUCCAACCUGCCGAUAACUCGGGGAUAGCCUUUCGAAAGAAAGAUUAAUACCCGAUGGUAUAAUCAGACCGCAUGGUUUGAUUAUUAAAGAAUCUCGGUUAUCGAUGGGGAUGCGUUCCAUUAGGCAGUUGGUGAGGUAACGGCUCACCAAACCUUCGAUGGAUAGGGGUUCUGAGAGGAAGGUCCCCCACAUUGGAACUGAGACACGGUCCAA
RNAcentral lists this ribosomal RNA (245 nucleotides) under uncultured bacterium. Its description in RNAcentral is "partial 16S ribosomal RNA". It matches the Rfam family "Bacterial small subunit ribosomal RNA", at positions 88 to 334 of the family's 1533-position model. The record is from RNAcentral.